CUUCGGAAAGUCCCUAAGUAAAUUGGCUUUAACAGUCAUUACUGUGCUCUCCCUUGAAGAACAAGUCUCCUCUCACAGGUUUUGAAGAAAACGGUGUCUGAUCUCUUUAGAACGAUCCCUGGUAAGAAAGUUAUAUGGCACUUCACAGCUUUAUUUGGAGCUCUUGCUACAACUGCACGAUCUCCUAGACCAGUUUUGCCAGUAUUCUACGACAGAAGAGACAAAAUGCAUAUUUGCUUAAUGAUCCUGUUUCUUCCUGAGAAAGUGAAGAAAAGACAUUCUCAUGGAGAGGAGGCAACAAAUGAUACCCAGAAGCUCCUCAAUAAAGUCUGCAUCUUUUGUGGAGCUACAGCAGGUGAGAAAGCAUGUGCAAGACUGAAGUAAGGGCACUACAUUGUCACAUCAUUGUAGUCCAUUGCCUUGUCUGUUAUGGCCUUCCAGAAGAGGAACAAAGACCAACUAAGGCAACCCCAAAGGCAAAUGCUUCCCCCUGUAUCUACACGAUGAAAUAAUGUUACAUGAUGCAAUUAAACUCUAAAAUAUGUGAAAAAAAUUGACAUCCAGGCACAUUGCAUUAGAGGAGCUUUGAGCUAACAUGCAUUUUUUAUGGAAGCUAUAAAAAGUCAUCUAUACCAUUUUGUUGUCUUGAAUGUUUUUUUCUGUAGUAAGCCCAAAGUCAAACCACUGUCUGCAUUUUAUUGUCCCUUCCAUUAACUUCCAUUAACUAGAGUGUAGCACUAGAUGACCAUAAUGACACACAACUAAUCAACAGCAGCUAUUAGUAUACUCCUUUAUUCCCCUGUCUUUAUGAAGGUUUUGCCAAAAUGUCAUUUCCAACCUUUGUUCUAAGGAAGCUCAUUGAAAACAAUUUGUCAAAAAUACAGUUAAAAAAAAAUAAAAAUUAAAACACUACAUGGUACCUUCACUGCAGCUUGCACUCUCCUCUCUUUCAGAGAUGUUAAAGAACAAAGCUCAGUAACGGUAUGGGUAGUAGUUUUCUACAGUUGAUACAGUUACAACUUAUUGUGUACUAUAGCUAUACAGAUGGGGAUUGUACACUCAUCUGGGAAGCACAUGUCAAACUUUCUGCAAAGUUUAACCUUCAGGUAAAAUAACAGAAGAUUCCUGCACAACUUCGGCUACCUCCAUAAACUUGUGAAGUUUCAUAAAAUCUGGUUGAUCUUUGCACAUCUCCAGCUCAGAGAGACUAUAAUGCUUCAUAGGAACUGCAGCAACUCAAGUUCUGACUGUUUAAUCCCCUGUUUAUGUCUCAAAGUAUAGCUUGUCCAGCGUUUCAGCUGAAGAUGAAGGUCGUUGGAAAAUGCCCUUCUUGUGUCAUUCCCAUUGUUUCAUCUCUUUUUCUAGAUGCCAUGCCAUAUGUGGCCUGGUGUUUCAUUUUUUCUUUCACUCAUUUCAUUUUUCUAUAUUUUUGUCUUGAAAAGCCUUUUAGUGUUCUGGUCUCUUUAUUGAGUGUUGCGUUUAUGCUAUACACUUACUUUUAAAGUGGCUCUGAGAGACAUCUUUCUCUUUACUAUGAGAAUUUUAUAAAGUAAUUUCCCCCUGAAAAUCAAUAAUGUUUUUGUUGUUGUUUUUUUUUUUUUCUUUCAUGUGCUGUCUAGUUUAGAACCCUCUGUCUUUUAACACUCCUUGCUUUCUGUGUCUCUAACAGAACUUGUGCUAAAAAUAUGAUACCUCCUAAUACAAGCACUACAUUGUCUCUAACUAUUGCUUCUAUUCCUUUUCCGCAUUUGUAAUAGUAUUUGUCUUCAGUAAAUUAUUUUGCUCUAGUCUUGGCAUUUUCUCAUAAUUUCAGUUGUCUCAUUUAUAGAUUUGGCCUGGUGUGACAGUAUGCUCCACCCCCUCUUACAUGACCUUUUCCCAUAGCCCUGCUCAAGCAAUAACCACCAGUGGCAGUCAUGAUGAAUGCAUCUGGUCAUGAUGGCUGCAUCCGUCUCAAAUGGGAUUUGGGGGAGAGAGAUAAGAACACAAUAGCCAAGGGCUAAUUUAUGGCAAUGUGUCUACCUAACCACAGUGUUGGUCAACAUCCAACUCAAGACAAAUUUGGAAGAAACUAAGAUCUGCAGUAUGUGUGCAAAUAUGGGUAUGAGUCAACCUUCUUACUCCACAAAUAGUGGACAGCCUAGGGCCCAUGGAGCUCUCCUACAUGAUAGUAGGCUGCAUGCCAGGGUCUCCCUUAAGUAGAGGAUGCCUCUCACAGUUACUCCUUGAGUUUGAGAGAAUCUUUAUCAAAUCAGAUACUUGGUAAGUGAAUUAGGAUAAGCACAUUGAAAUUUGAUAAUCUUAGCUGGGUAAUAUAAACGACUGAUUGCACAUAUACAAUCCUCCAGACAUAAACUCUUAAGCAAGUCUGGGACUAAGUUUGGAUACAGCUAAGUUUGAAUAUAGCUAAGUCUGGAUCCACAUGAACUACUGUCUGAGGAGGAGUUUAGAACAUAGGAGUUUAGAACACAAUCCUGUCUGAAUCUUAUGUUUCAAUAGGAGGGUCCCCCUAAUAAUUUUGUCUGAUCCUGUCCUCUGUGCAGUAAAUAAUCAAGUGUACAUUGCCAUCGAAUCUUGUUAAACCACUGUUGCAUCUACCAUUGAAAUUCAUUAACUUACUGUCUUAUAUCAAUAAAAUCUAUUGUUGCUUCUCUCUUACAAAUGAAGGGCAUCACUCUUUCGGCAACACAGGGUUAUGAGCAAGGCAUUAAUAGUCACUUAGAUGGAGUCUAAAGAAGCAAAAAGUUAUCACUAAUUAACAUGUUAUCACUACCACAGUGUCUGCCCAGCUGUGAGCUCUUGGCCUGUUUCAAAAACAAAUUGAUGAGAUUGGGCUAAUCCUCUUUCAUCAGUAGCUAAUUUUCUCUGAACACAUUUGCUUCAGGCCAUGAGUACUCUCAGGUAAUUGUGAGGGCUUAGAAGGUGCUGAGGAAUUGGUAACCAGCAUAACCUGAUCAGAGAGCCCUUCUGGUUCACCCUUUUCAUCCUGGGUGCAGGCUGGGGCACAAGCUGAAAAGUAUCACUGAGGGUAAGUAGCAGGAUAUUUGUCUCAUAUUCCAAUGCUCUCAGUAUCAAGCCAGAAUCCAUCAAGCUGGUCACUCACCAGGAGGAACAUCUGAACAGGUGCACUGGAUUUUUGUGUGGUCCAGCUUCUGAUCUCCUACAGGAAACAGUGAUGAGGUAUAACUAAAAGCAGCAAGGUAAGCAGAUAUAAAUCCAAUUCUAUCCUGGUAACCCCUAAUAAUCAACAGUCUAGAACUUUUAUGGAAGAGAAUUGGACCCAUAUCAGAAGGCACUCAAUAUACAUGAUAUUUUUUCCAUAGAUUUGCUAGAGUGCCACAUUUUCAUUGUUUACUCUACAGAAAUGUAUUUUCUUUUCUUGAAACCUGGUGACUGGCACAUCUUUUGGUGUCUGUUCACCAAGGCAGCAAAUAAUUCUUCCUUCUUUGUUAUCUCUGCUUAUUUUAUCACAUUCUCCCACAUGCUUAGCCCUUUAGCUCUUUUUAGUUUUUUUUUCUAACCAGAAAAUUCCUAGUCCAAGCCAGUGAAACUAAAACUACAAUGGUCUAAUUUUUGAGAGUCUCUGCAAGGCCUCAUCCCUUUUCUAACACAUUUACCUAUACCUUCUUGUUUACAUUACUUGCAUUUAUGUUCACAGCAGUCACUUUUUUUUCUUUAAAGAGAGAAACUCACCUACUUCUGAAAUCAGCUUGUUUCACAACAUGCCCAAAACAAAAGGUGACAUGUUUCCUGCCAUUAAGGUCCUCUCAUUUACAGGUACAGCUUAAUCUCACUGAGUCCAUGCAACGAACCUAGAACCCCACAGAGAAUGGUACAGGAGUCCUGUAUUAAAUCUGUAGAUCUUAUUUUACAGUAUUAUUUAAGGUACUCCCUUGAUUUUAUAGGGCCUGUUGCAAUAGGACAUGGGGUAAUGGUUUAAAACUUAUAGAGAGUAUAUUCAGCCUAAAUAUAAGGAAGAAACUUUCAUAAUGAGUGUGAUGAAACACUUGAACAGGUUACCCGGAGGGGCUAUAGAUUCCUUGUCCCUGGAAACAUUCAAGGUCAGAUUGGUGGGGCUUUGAGCAACCUGAUCUAGUUGAAGAUAUCCUUGCUCAUGGCAAGGGGGUUGGACUAGAUGACCUUUAAAGGUGCCUUCCAGCCCAAACCAUUCUAUGAUUUCUCCAUCACUGAGCGGUGAAAAUGCAGCCACUACUCAUUAGCUGGAUAGUUGGACGCUGGUUUAGCAUUGCAUCCAUGAAAAUAAAGGCAAAGUAUGCACACUAUCUGAAAAUAUUUAAUUUUAUUAAAUGCAUUCUGGCAAACACAAAUACUAUAGCAAAGUGCUUUGAUCAUGUAAUUGCAUUCCAAGUAUUAUACAGAUUGACCUUUUUGAUAAGUCAUCUUGACACUGAAGAGAGAAAUUCUUUGCAACUACAGAUAUGUAGUGUACUUCAAGAUGCAUUUAUGUUCAUGUUCUUUCCACAAAAAAUGCAUAGCUUUUCUGAAAUAGUCCUACUUUAAUCGCUAUGUGUUUAAGAUUAUAUCUCUGACCAGACAGAGUAUGGAUGUAUUUAAAAAAAAAAAAAAAUUUCUUUUAUUACAUACUGUAGUGAUUUUCAAAGUCAAUGCUUUAAGCAGGAGUAUAACCCCAAAAACUGAUCUUUUAAACAUGCUUGUGGAAAAAAAUCCAGUGUCAUUUUAUGUAUGUACAGUUGAAUUCAGUCUUUUAAUCAGUGAUUCUUUAAGUACUGCAUUCUCUGUAUUGUUUAACUGGUUCUUGGCUCAACAGAAUUAAAAAGUCAGGAUUUGGCAAAGACCUCUACAGUAAGAUUUAGAGAUUUUAAUUAUUUUUCUUAAUCUAGGCUAACAUCAAAAAGAAAGUUACUGUGUUUAUUUUGUUGUCUAGUAAAAAUGCAUUAAAUGGGGAUUUCUUAAUCUAUUCAUAACCUUAGGUCAUGACAAAUUAUUAUAGAAAAAAUACUUUUAUACUUAAAGUAAUAUCCUUCAUGUGUGAAACUAUUAUUUUUAAGGUUAUGAUAAUCAUGUAAUCUGAUGUUCUACACAAUAAACGUUGAAAUUUUUCACCAAGUACUUUCUGCAUCAAACUUUCAUCUAUCAGAAUGACAGAAUAUGUUUCACAGCACUUGAUUUCAACCUGGUAUUUGUUUACUCUUGAGAGCUGUAUGGGAGAAAACCAAAGUUAGGCUUAGUUUUCACAGAAGCACAGAAUGAUUGAGGUUGGCCUCUGGAGGUAGGCCAUCUGGUUCAUCCACCCUGCUCAAGCAAGUGCAUCU
This is a long non-coding RNA of Columba livia (rock pigeon), 5294 nucleotides long. RefSeq lists it as uncharacterized. The transcript has 4 exons. The record is from RefSeq and is a predicted model, not a curated record. Lineage: Eukaryota; Metazoa; Chordata; Aves; Columbiformes; Columbidae.